CUUUCUCCGCCGGCGACCGGCGCACGGAUGAGUAACACGUAUGCAACCUGCCCCUGUCAGGGGGACAACCCGCCGAAAGGCGGGCUAAACCCGCGUACAUGCCACCGGGGCAUCCCGGAGGCAGGAAAGGCUUCGGCCGGACAGGGAUGGGCAUGCGGCGCAUUAGGCAGUAGGCGGGGUAACGGCCCACCUAACCGACGAUGCGUAGGGGUUCUGAGAGGAAGGUCCCCCACACUGGUACUGAGACACGGACCAGACUCCUACGGGAGGCAGCAG
This 276-nucleotide ribosomal RNA is filed under the name uncultured bacterium. RNAcentral describes it as "partial 16S ribosomal RNA". It matches the Rfam family "Bacterial small subunit ribosomal RNA", at positions 79 to 354 of the family's 1533-position model. The record is from RNAcentral.